This 309-nucleotide ribosomal RNA is filed under the name uncultured bacterium. RNAcentral's name for it is "partial 16S ribosomal RNA". It matches the Rfam family "Bacterial small subunit ribosomal RNA", at positions 504 to 807 of the family's 1533-position model. The record is from RNAcentral.
AGAGACAGCAGCAGCCGCGGUAAUACGUAGGGUGCAAGCGUUAAUCGGAAUUACUGGGCGUAAAGCGUGCGCAGGCGGUUCGCUAAGACAGAUGUGAAAUCCCCGGGCUUAACCUGGGAACUGCAUUUGUGACUGGCGGGCUAGAGUAUGGCAGAGGGGGGUAGAAUUCCACGUGUAGCAGUGAAAUGCGUAGGGAUGUGGAGGAAUACCAAUGGCGAAGGCAGCCCCCUGGGCCAAUACUGACGCUCAUGCACGAAAGCGUGGGGAGCAAACAGGAUUAGAUACCCCUGUAGUCCCUGUCUCUUAUAC